UACAGAGGGUGCGAGCGUUAAUCGGAAUUACUGGGCGUAAAGCGUGCGUAGACGGUCAUGUAAGUCGGAUGUGAAAGCCCCGGGCUCAACCUGGGAAUUGCAUUCGAGACUGCAAGGCUUGGGUGCGGAAGAGGGAAGCGGAAUUUCCGGUGUAGCGGUGAAAUGCGUAGAUAUCAGGAGGAACACCGAUGGCGAAGGCAGGUCUCUGGGCUGACACUGACGCUCAUGCACGAAAGCGUGGGGAGCAAACAGG
This 253-nucleotide ribosomal RNA is filed under the name uncultured bacterium. RNAcentral describes it as "partial 16S ribosomal RNA". It matches the Rfam family "Bacterial small subunit ribosomal RNA", at positions 524 to 776 of the family's 1533-position model. The record is from RNAcentral.